CCUGACGACCAUAGCCCGCUGGAACCACUCCUUCCCAUCCCGAACAGGACCGUGAAACGGCGGCGCGCCGAUGAUAGUACGGAGUUCCCGUGCGAAAGUAGGUCAUUGUCAGGC
This 114-nucleotide ribosomal RNA is filed under the name Betaproteobacteria bacterium. The record is from RNAcentral. Lineage: Bacteria; Pseudomonadati; Pseudomonadota; Betaproteobacteria.